Molecule: long non-coding RNA, 1073 nt
Filed under: Scleropages formosus (Asian bonytongue)
Lineage: Eukaryota; Metazoa; Chordata; Actinopteri; Osteoglossiformes; Osteoglossidae
Description: lncRNA (ENSSFOG00015027234.1)
Rfam family: mir-16 microRNA precursor family (bases 537-617)
Source: RNAcentral
AUGCACCUUCGGGUGGCCACCGCUUUCCAGCUUUCGGAGACACAUAAUGGCAGGAGCUUGCAAGUGUUGCCUGUUGAGCCUUGUCACUCCUUACUGGAGAAGGACAUGGGGGCAUCCAGGAAGUGUACAAGUGAAGCCCGAGAUGACAUGAAGCUCCAGAACCAAUCUAAGGGGAUCAGAUGCUGUCAAACCUUGGCAUCCCUUCAGUCCGUCCGUGUGUGUGUGUGUGUGUGUGUGUGUGUGUGUGUGUGUGUGUGUGUGUGUGUCUGUCUCUCGGAGAGAGAGAGAGAGAACGCUGCUCGAGAGGAAAGGGAGGGGGAUGUGGGGCAGGCCUGGUGGUGCUGUAGCAGCACAGAAUGGUUUGUGGGUUACACGGGGAUGCAGGCCGUGCUGUGCUGCGGCAGUUACGCCUGGGCAGGCGGAAAAUAAAAUGGGGGUGGGGGAUGAUGGAAAAAAAACUGUCAAAUAGUUUGUAAAGAGGACCAGGACCACCAGCGUGAGGCCAGGUACAGGCUAGUCGCCCUCCACGUUUGGCCGCCUUGCUCUAGCAGCACGUAAAUAUUGGAGUUAAACCACUUCUGAUUCCUCCAGUAUUGAUCGUGCUGCUGAAGUGAAGCCUGGCCGUUCCCGUCCACCGGCUUACUGCCUCAUGGCUGUCGUGCGCUGCCCUGUUACCGUCAUCGUCGUCAUCUCAGCAUGGAGCUGCUGACCCCGUGAUGAGGAGUUGUGUGCGUCAUAAGCAUCAGCGAAGGGGAGUGAAAUUACUCUGGUACUCUGUACUGUUUGAGGUAUAUGCAUUUCUGCUGCUCGCUUUUUAUAUUCACCGUGUGCAGGAACCGCACCAAUUAGUGUGCGUUGUCAGGAGCAUCAUUCAUUUUUCUAAUCACUGGACUCAUAAUUGAUUAUCUAUUGCUUGUGUCUAUACUGCAGUGCUUAAUUUUACUUUUUUUUUUUUAACCUGAGCUGCAUAUAAUCUUAAAAUGUAUGUUUUUCUAUCUAAGAAUUUACCUUUUAAGACUGUAUUUGUACUGCUUCAUGUCUUAUGUCCUAAUAAAUUUGUUUUUGUGUUUUCA